Molecule: non-coding RNA, 2337 nt
Organism: Microcebus murinus (gray mouse lemur)
Lineage: Eukaryota; Metazoa; Chordata; Mammalia; Primates; Cheirogaleidae
Source: RefSeq, a predicted model, not a curated record
AAUAGCACUUCCUUCCUAGUCUUCAGCGUGCUAAUUUUAAUCUCAGACUCUGCCUUCCAGGAAAACAGAUUUGUGACAUUUGGUGCCAGGAAGGACCCAAGAAAGCCAUGGCAGUUGGAAUUUUGGAGCUGGAUCACUCAUUCCGAGGCUGGCAGUGAGCACAGAUGGCCCCUAACAAUUGUUAGGGCUUCCCCAGAGAUAAAGGCAAUGAAAAGAUAAUUGGCAACUGAAAGCUGAGUGUGGAAGUCAGAAUACCUUUUUGGCAGCAUCAAAAGCCCCUCUCCGUUUCCACAGUGGAAAGACAGGGAAAGCCGAAGACCAAGGCCGGGACAUAACACUGCGAGCAGCAGAGCUCUAAAGAAGGCCGUGCAGAGGCUUUUCCCCAGCAAGACAUGAGCAUUCCCAGGAUCUCCCCUCAUCUUCCUUCCUGGUAAAUAGAUCUGUAAGUAGGCUUAAUUAAUAGCAAAAUUGGGCUAUAGAUAGCCUGGGCCUGAUAAGGAAGGAAAGGGACCGUAUCCUGAAGAAAUGAAAGAACCUAGCCGGCACUCACCAGCAGGAGCUGAGAGAUCGUGCACAGCGCUGGAAUCGGAGGGCGUGCAACCAAGGGUGCGGAGCAUGUGGUUAUCAGCUAGGAAACACUACACCAGAAUACAGAAUUCAACGCCCUGGUAAGGCCCUGGGAGAUGGUAUCAACAGAGUGCUUCUAGGGCUGCUCCUAAAUGGGCCAUACAUUUACAUUCUCACCCUAAGACUAUGUUAACUAUCCUGUCUUCUGCCAUAAUAUACUCUGAAGAGACAUAAACUAGCUGUGCAUCCGGAAGACUAUCACAUCCAUUAACUAUAUCAGUAACAUGCUAAUUGGACACAAUGAACAUGAACAAAAAGUGACUAUUCAUGGAGGGCUUGGCAGGACACAAGUGUUCCAGAGGGGCGAGAAAACCUCUAAGAAGUUUUAAGGGACUGCCACAUUACUAAAAAUUUUAGGGCCCACUGUCCUGGGGCAUUCUGAGACAUCCCCUCAUCCCACAGGGCAAAUUAUUGCUUCUUACACUUGCACUUCCCACCAUGAAUAAGGAAGCACAUGUCGAGGAGACCUCUGGAUCGCAGAGGCAGCACGCACCACAGCAGAAUAAUGCCAUCUCUCUUCUGUGUGGCGUGAAGUGCUGCCAGCUUUCAAUGGGGCCUGAGUAAGAGAAAAGAUUUUGCAGUAGAUCAGGCAGCAGUGCGAGUAGCCCUGCCCGGGGGCCACAUAACCUGACACAUCCUAUAGCAUUGGAAACAGCAGUGACACAAAAAUGCCAUUAGAGAUGGCAAGGCCUACUUCAGGAAUCACAAUGCAGACACCAUCAGUUUCAGAACAAGGCCAUACCAUCUUCAGCAGAAAUGUAUAAUGUUCUCACCGUGACCCUGAGCUGAUUUCUGUCACAGCCACCAAGUCAUAAGGUUGAGAAGGCCCAGCAGAAAUUCAUAGGAAGAUAGAAGUGAUAUAUCUGGGAUCAAGCAGAGGCAGGACUGGGCAGAGCAUGCAAUCUACAUGAUCAGAUGACCCAGACACCCGUGUUGUCCACUACCAUUCUACCAGUGCCUCUCCCCCAGGUCACACAGGGGAACUAUUAUCGCCAAUUGAUGGGGCAGCAUAAGUUGGAGCUUGGCUCACAAAUGGAUUGGCUCAAUAUGUUGAUGCAAGUCUUGAAAGACAGGAAUGAGGGGCAACCCUCCCACUGAGGAAAGCUUUGAGCAGUGACCUGGUCAUUUACUCUGUAUAGAAAGAGAAGUUUCCUGAGCUGAGCUUAGAAAACACACAAAUUCAUGGGCAAUGACAAAUGUCUUGGAUUUUUCUUUCUUCCAGUUACUUGGAAGAUCAGGAACAAGGAGGUCUGGGAUAGAGACACAUAAGUAUACAUAUGGAAAUAAGCACCAAGUGUGACAAUCUUUAUAAUGCAUGGUAAUGUUCACCAAAGAGAAACCACCAUAGAAGAGACAUGAUUACACCAGGAAGAUAACAAAAAUAUACAAAGAACCCCUACUAAUCAAUAAUAAAAAGAAAAACAACUCAAUUAAAAUGGAAGAAAAGACUCAAACAGACACUUUACAAAAGAAGAUAAAUAUUGUCCCACAAGCACAUGAGAAAGUGUUUAACAUCACUAGCUAUCAGGACAAUGCAAGUUAAAUCAUCAUCAACAACACCAGUCACUAAUACAGUUAAAAUUAAAAGACAAUGACAAAAAUUGGAAAUAGAACUUUUGUGCAUUUCAGUGGGUAUGUAAAAUGGAGCAUCAUUUUGGAAAAAUUGACAUGGAAGCUUUUUACAUAGUUAAACAUGCAUCUGUCAUUUAA